GGAGACGCAAUAGGCUGGAGGGAGGGGUAGGCUGCAAACUGGAGGGUUGGUUGGAAAUUUGAAUAUGGAGCAGUUAACACCCCUAGAACCCUGUCAAGUCUGGGCAGGCUGGCGACUGCUGCCCCUCCCCCAUGCACCCUAGUGGAGAGCUGGGGGCUUGGGCUGCAGGGGGAGUUCAUCCAGAGAGGCUCUGAACUGGGAGACGCCUCAGUGAGAAUGCUUACAUCCACACGCUUUUCCAUACGCUGCCCCCAAAACGCUUUGUCAGUCUCUCACCUCCUGGCUUGAGAAUAAAGGAUUUCUCUCUAAGGAAACCAACCAAGCCAAUGGCAAAGACCUACAGAUACUGCCAUCUGGGGCUCCCAGUGGACCAGCUGGACCCCCAGCCCAGCACCCUACAGCGAGGCCCACAGUGGGCGAGUCCUUCCCGCACAAGGAAAGCUCCCCAGUCAGACCUGAGUGCCCCGCUCUUCAAUGUGAGUGGACAGCUGAGGAUCACUUAGGCCUCUGAGGAAAGUCUGCGCUUGAAAGUUACCCGAAUAAACAGAAGGUGAGAAGCAGGAAGGAAGGGACUUAAGGCAGGGAGAAAACUUUUUAAAAGAGUAAUUGAUAUUCCCAGAAAACUAAGAGAAGAUACCACAUCCAAAAAGUAAGGAACAAUAUUUCAUGUAAUUUUUUCCCCAGCUUUUUUUGUUGUGACUGCUGUCGAACUGAUUCCGACUCCUAGCGACCCUGUGGACAGCAGACUGCAACCCUGCCUGGGUUUUUGGUGCCAUCUCUCCCCUUCCGGCGCUAUAUCAGACAAUGAAUGCUCGACUGCUAUUUGUGGGGUCUUUUGGAAGUGGGUGACCAGGCCCUUUGUCCCAGUCUGUCUGAGUCUGGAAAUCCUGCUGAAGCCUGUCUACCACACCACAGUGUGACAACUGACAGACAGGUGGUGUGGCUCUCUGACUGGAAACAAACCCGGGCAACGGCAAUGAGAGUGCCAGAUCUUAACCCCUGGACCAUCUUUCCACCUUUACCGAAGACAUAACUGGCAUACGACAUUGUGCGGAGGGACGGGAUGGAUCCCGACCAGGAGGUCCUGCCUGGAGCCUCAGGCUGUAAGCUCGUGUUAUAGUCACUCAGCAUCUAUUAAGCAUCUGCCAUGGGCCAGGCCCUCUUCUCAGCACUGGGAACACAUCAAUGGACCAAAGAGACAAAGCCCCGACUUGGUGGAUCUAUAUUCUAGUGUUUAUCUUUGAAGCCUCACGUUUUACUCGAAACCAUCACAGAAGGAGCUGCCACCUGAAGGGACACAGCCCCGCCUGGAGGAGAGCAGAACCUGGGAAGGGGGCAAGUUCAAAGGCGAGCCCAUGCCGUGAAUGACGGCACAGAGGCGCGUGACAAGGGCCUCUUUCACAGCCCCGACGGCAGGCACUGCGGGCCAGGCGGCCGGACGCGGCUCCGUGAAUCGGCCUGUGUUCCGAGGUCAGGCACUCGAGGCCUGGCUCUGCCCCUGGGGGCUGACGGAAUGGUGACAGGAGCAUUUAUGAGGAUAUGCAGAAGGGGAGCCUGCAUUGUCGUGGCUGACAAGACCCCCAUGAUCGAUUUUGUUUUUUAGUGAUAUAAACAUGUAGUUCUUUGUAAUUUCUGUCCACAGAAAAG
Molecule: long non-coding RNA, 1647 nt
Filed under: Equus caballus (horse)
Lineage: Eukaryota; Metazoa; Chordata; Mammalia; Perissodactyla; Equidae
Description: lncRNA (ENSECAG00000047950.1)
Source: RNAcentral